AUGCGAUAAGUAAUGUGAAUUGCAGAGCACAGUGAAUCAUCGAAUCUUUGAACGCACAUGGCGCCCGCUGGUAAUCCGGCGGGCAUGCCUGUCCGAGCGUCAUUUCAACCCUCAGAACCCCUCUCUCGGGAGGGCGUUACUGGUGUUGGGGAUCGAGCGCCCCCCGCGGCGCCCGUCCCUUAAAUCUAUUGGCGGCUCCGGAGUCUGUCUCCCCUGCGUAGUAUUGCAUCUCGCUUUGGUGACGUCUUCGGGCUGCUGUGGCUCUGCCACAAAACCCCCACUAGGUUGACCUCGGAUCAGGUAGGGAUACCCGCUGAACUUAA
This 323-nucleotide unclassified non-coding RNA is filed under the name uncultured Stachybotrys. Its description in RNAcentral is "partial contains 5.8S ribosomal RNA, internal transcribed spacer 2, and large subunit ribosomal RNA". The stretch from base 1 to 102 matches the Rfam family "5.8S ribosomal RNA", at positions 53 to 154 of the family's 154-position model. The record is from RNAcentral. Lineage: Eukaryota; Fungi; Ascomycota.